This 166-nucleotide ribosomal RNA is filed under the name Polygala japonica. RNAcentral describes it as "5.8S ribosomal RNA". It matches the Rfam family "5.8S ribosomal RNA". Rfam says of the family: 5.8S ribosomal RNA (5.8S rRNA) is a component of the large subunit of the eukaryotic ribosome. The record is from RNAcentral. Lineage: Eukaryota; Viridiplantae; Streptophyta; Magnoliopsida; Fabales; Polygalaceae.
UAAUAACGACUCUCGGCAACGGAUAUCUCGGCUCUCGCAUCGAUGAAGAACGUAGCGAAAUGCGAUACUUGGUGUGAAUUGCAGAAUCCCGUGAACCAUCGAGUCUUUGAACGCAAGUUGCGCCCGACGCCUUCUGGCCGAGGGCACGUCUGCCUGGGUGUCACGC